GACGAACGCUGGCGGCGUGCCUAACACAUGCAAGUCGAACGGAGUAAUUUCUUCGGAGAUUACUUAGUGGCGAACGGGUGAGUAACGCGUGAGAAACCUGCCUUUCAGUGGGGGACAACAGUUGGAAACGACUGCUAAUACCGCAUAAUGUAUCGAGAGGGCAUCCUCUUGAUACCAAAGCUUUAUGUGCUGAAAGAUGGUCUCGCGUCUGAUUAGCUAGAUGGUGAGGUAACGGCCCACCAAGGCGACGAUCAGUAGCCGGCCUGAGAGGGUGGACGGCCACAUUGGGACUGAGACACGGCCCAAACUCCUACGGGAGGCAGCAGUGGGGAAUAUUGCACAAUGGGGGAAACCCUGAUGCAGCGACGCCGCGUGAGUGAAGAAGUAUUUCGGUAUGUAAAGCUCUAUCAGCAGGGAAGAAAAUGACGGUACCUGACUAAGAAGCCCCGGCUAACUACGUG
This 461-nucleotide ribosomal RNA is filed under the name uncultured bacterium. Its description in RNAcentral is "bacterial SSU rRNA". It matches the Rfam family "Bacterial small subunit ribosomal RNA", at positions 28 to 507 of the family's 1533-position model. The record is from RNAcentral.